This 253-nucleotide ribosomal RNA is filed under the name uncultured bacterium. Its description in RNAcentral is "partial 16S ribosomal RNA". It matches the Rfam family "Bacterial small subunit ribosomal RNA", at positions 524 to 776 of the family's 1533-position model. The record is from RNAcentral.
UACGUAGGUGGCAAGCGUUGUCCGGAUUUACUGUGUGUAAAGGGCGUGCAGCCGGAGAGACAAGUCAGAUGUGAAAUCCACGGGCUCAACCCGUGAACUGCAUUUGAAACUGUUUCCCUUGAGUGUCGGAGAGGUAAUCGGAAUUCCUUGUGUAGCGGUGAAAUGCGUAGAUAUAAGGAAGAACACCAGUGGCGAAGGCGGAUUACUGGACGAUAACUGACGGUGAGGCGCGAAAGCGUGGGGAGCAAACAGG